This is a long non-coding RNA of Triticum aestivum (bread wheat), 3407 nucleotides long. RefSeq lists it as uncharacterized. The transcript is spliced from 3 exons. The record is from RefSeq and is a predicted model, not a curated record. NCBI's taxonomy places the organism in Eukaryota, Viridiplantae, Streptophyta, Magnoliopsida, Poales, Poaceae.
GCCGAAACCAAUCCGUCACACUGUCCCCGUUUUCUCGUCUCCUCCGUCUUCCUCCUCAUGGUUUCCCGCCUAUCAACUCCCUCCCUCGUAUUCUGCACCAACUCCCCUGCGCGAUCUCCUCCUUCUCGCGCGCCACUGAUCCAGCCUCCUCGGAAGCGGACGGUGUCUGCCUGCGUCCCCAACCGUCUCAGGUACCGCAGGCAUCGAGCACGGCGUGCACCGACGCUGUUCGACGUUGAUGUUUCUGGACGAGCUAGGAGGAUUGACAAGGCCUGGGAUUUGGUUCCAGUAACGGUGUUUGAACCUGCUGCUUCUAUGUGAGGAUAUUUGCCAGGGUAAUGUAGGAGCUACAGGAGAAUAAGAUUAGCCAGAAUAGAGACUGAGCAGUUUUUCCAACUUGGACCUGACAAGGGUGGAAACCAUGUUUGACAUUCAGAUAUGUAUGCUGCCAGUCCAAAGUGGGAUAUUAUCUUGACGACAGAGACAGAGCACCCUCUAUAAUAAGUUAAAGGUAAUUUACCGUGAGAUGAGAAGAUCUCUUCACAGGACCAGCUAAUACACAAUGUGACCUUCAUGUAUGUGCAUGACUACUCGAAGGGGGAGGCUGGAGCUGCUUAAACACUUAAAUAUCUGUAGAUUCAACCAUUUUAAGGAUGGUUCAUGUUCUUGUGGGGACUUCUGGGGAUUGAGAACCGAAUGAGACCAAUCAUCUCCAAGUGGUGCUCCCAUCAUGUAGCAAAUUAUUGUCCUGUGAGUAGUGGAUCUGCCGCUUUAAAGAUCCAUGUCGACUUAUAUUGUGAGAUUGGCCAUUCAAGUCAAUAAUGUCAUGCUGCCGACCCCAUUUGGUGUAAUAUCAGCAGUACCAUCUGAACUGUGCACAGCAAAUGGUAGCCCAGAUGUGGGUCCUUGAUCAUCUGAACAGACUGAGUGACCUACAAGCUCUUAUCUUGUACAGUAGUUGCGCCAUACAUCAUAAGACAAUACCUCUUACAUGUGCAGGAUUUAUUCAUGUAGAAAUAUGCUGGAAGUGGAUCUGGGUGUCUCAGGAAGUGAUUCGCUGCACUAUUGUCUAUGGGCGUGCUGCAGUAGAUAACUGCAGCGAUUGAUACACAUCUUGGUUCGCUCCCUCGUGAUUUCACCAUCCUCAUUGUUGUUUCCGAUCAAAGAAUGAUGAGCUAUGGAAAGUGGUAUGCUCCAUUCCCUCAUCAGUGUUCCCACUCUCAUGUGGUCUGCAAUUUGUUAACACUUAUAUGUUAUUUCAUGUUUGAUACUGUAUUUCACCUUGCUGCAUUGAACAUAAUUGUUACUGGAAAAUGUGCUGCAUCAAUGCAAACCUACUCAUGUAGGAUUUAAAUCCAUUUAACCUUUUGGUCAGGAAAAUGUGCUGCAUCAAUGCAAACCUACUCAUGUAUUCUGUGAUUCAUCUCUUGUGACUUGUACAGUUGGAAACCAAGUUACCCUGAAGCUUUAGUCAGACACUAUGCACAAUUUUAUUUUCUCAACAGUAUUGUCUUUGUCUAUACCAUCUGGGUUGGGGUAAUAUUCUACUAGAAAUGAUGCCACACACCUUUUGAGCUCCCAUUUGACAUGUAGCUGUUUCCUCUUCUCAGACACCUGUUUUCAUUUGUUUCUCAACAAAAAAAAACUUUACUCUGAUGCUUUCUUUUCUUCCUUCGGAAAAUGUCAUCACUUUCAUUGCUCAAAAUUAAAUAUUUAACUAAUUUAUUUGUUGUCAUAUGUCCUCGUCAUGAUGAUUAUCAGUUGGUCUAGGAGGUUGCUAUUCUGAGACUUGACUCAUAUCUCGCCAACAAUUUGGAGGCCUACUCAUUCUCUUUGUACCACAACGAGACACGAGACGAAAUAUCGAUACAGUGUAUAUGCUUGUCCAUAUGUUAUCAUUAACAGCUUAAAUAUAUGCGUAGUUUCCACACUGGCACAUCAUAGUUUUAUAGGACAAUCAGACAUACCUUAGGCCCUUACAGUCCUCCAAUGGCCCACCUUCUGUGCAUCCUGCGCCUGUUUUUCUCAAGGGAAGUACUGUUUCUGUACAAAAGCAGGCGUCUAGAACUACUAGCUGGUGCCGGGGAAAACGGCAAACGAUGCAUAUAACUACAGUAAGACAUGAGCAUUCAUCAGGCCAGCCCGUUCCUUGUGGACCAUGCUGGCUCAUGAGCCUCACCUCAUGAAGGCAGUGACUUAUUUGGAAAGCAACGAGAUCCAGUGGCUGAUGCCUGAUGGGUGCAUCAUGGCCAGCAUAUUGUAGGUCCAGUUUGUGGGUCGAUCAAGCCUCUGGCACCCCGUUUGUAUCGUGUGGGUGGCCAUUCACUCAUCUGAUUGAUGCAUCCUCGUGGCACUGUUGCUCAUGUUUUAUUUGACGUUUCUUCCAUAGUCCUGUUUUUUUUUUGACUUUUCACAAUAAUGCUACGCAGUAGGGCAUAGUUAAUAGGUUUUGUUCCCAGCUUAAAAAACUGCAGAUUUGGCUGCAAGUCUUUACGCAGAUGAUGCGAUUAGCCUGCACUUUUCAGUUGCACCUUCUCGGUAUGUGCUACAUGGAGUGAGAGUCUGCUUUACCAUUAUGGCACUCACAUGACCCAUUUGCGCUAAUGCUAAGAUAGAUUGGUUUUGGUGUUCAAAAGUGUUAAUCAUGUAACCCUGGGAUAAAAUUUCAUUCAUGCUUUUGGAAUUAGUGAAAGCUUUGCCCCUGCAGUGCACAUGGCUCGUGUUUCAGUAGUGGGCAGGAAAUCUGGCUGUUGAUACAGUAGUUAGCCUGCUAGUUUUAAUCAUCAUUUCCACAGUUGAUCAGUCGAAUGAUCUAGGGCCUUGUUUAAUUAGCUUGUCUUGGUAUUCUCCACUAAGUACAUGCAUGUAUGUAGCAAGACCUACUUCUCAGGCAACUUGCACCUGCAAUCUCUAGUCUUUACAACAAGUGCUUACACCAGAUUGGUGACCUAGGUGUUAGGCUUUUAAUCUAGAUUCUCCAGGCACUUUAUUUUAGCCUCGGCGUGUUUUGCAAGCUGGCAGUACGGCUAAUCUUUUAUGGCUGGCGACGGCUUGCCCUCUGCUAAGACUUGAAGAGCAGGUAUCACCAAGUCAGUUUAGCUCAUGUUCCUUCAGCAUCUGCUUUGUAACAUUGACUGGUCAUAACAAUAACAUGUUGUUUGUCUCAUGCUGGUUUGUUUACAUAGGCAACAAAGCUGGAGACAUAGCUCUAAUUUUCUUUUGGUACAUGUUUGUGAGGAAUCAUGCUGGUUAUUGGAGUUUAGCGGCCUUUUGUGUCUGGACUUGGUGCCUGUUAGACCAUCAGCUUAGCCAGCCUUUUGUUUCAGUAUCCUAUUAGGGGAAACUGAGCCCACUUGCACAUUCAUCUUUUGUUGAACUUUUCCUCCCCGAGGGAACAGAAAGGUUGA